RNAcentral lists this long non-coding RNA (1599 nucleotides) under Patiria miniata (bat star). Its description in RNAcentral is "uncharacterized LOC119742011". Lineage: Eukaryota; Metazoa; Echinodermata; Asteroidea; Valvatida; Asterinidae. The record is from RNAcentral.
AGAAUUAUUUUUUUCCGGAUUUCGUUUUGGAGGAGCCUCAGUAACCAUCAAAAACUGAUUGAAGAGAGCUGUAACUUCAUAAAGGGACCACAGGACUGUACUGCGGGGUGACAUUUCCACGAAAUAGUAUAAUGGAAGCCAAGGCCAUGCUCGUGCUGCUCAUGUUGUGUUGUUGGUGUCUAGUCAGUCAACAAGUCCACGCAUCAAGACUAGACGGUCUCAGACAACAGUACAACCUUGACAGGGAGAUCGAUCCGGAAACGCAGCGGAAAAGGCGCCCACUGAGCUCGCUCAACAGGAGACCCGAGCAACACGACUACCAUUUCGGCGGCACCCUCUUCCGUAAAAGGAUGCUUGGUAAUGGCGAAUAUGUGGUCCAAGAUCCGGGCUACUACGCAUUCGAAGACGAGUAAAGAUGAGGCCUAUACAUCUUCAAGACAGAUACGUAAUUCCUACAAGACAGUUGACACCAUUCCUUUGACAAGCCUUGCCGCAUAGACCGACUUCAUAAUUGACUGCAUGGUUGGCUGAAGAAUUAUUCAAAAUGUAAUCAUUCAAUGAGAUGAUUUUUUUUUAAUUCGUUGUUAGAAUAAGUCACAUGGAUGUACAGUUCAAAGCUCCUGUAUAUUUUGUUGCCGCGGUUAGAAGAUACGCGGUUGUUAACAUAUUUAUUUAAAACAUCGAACAUUCCUACCAAAAAAACAAAAUGACCGAAGAUUUGCUUCUGAACUUACUGAAGCAAAUUCUGUGCAGUGAUGUACAUUGGUUGACAUCUCACUUACACAAUGUAAUGCUAGGCAACAGAGCUAGGUCAUUUUAUAUAAAAGACAUAUAUUUGUAUUCAAUUGACCAUCAUUGUUGAUGCCAUUAUACUGUAUACGCCGUACUACAUGUUUGUCAAUAGGCGUAGCAGUGGCAGCCUAAUUAUGGAUGUACAUGUACUAUGUACCAUUUGUUCAAGUUUAAUGUCUGUUUAAAACUUUUUGUCAUGAUGUUGGCCUAAAUGACAGGUAUCCUGUGUACGUCUAAUUCAAUAUCAGAUCUCACGCUUUGAAAGGAAUUCUUGCCUCUUUCUUGAGUAACCAGGUCACACUUUCUACACGUUAAAUCAAUUUUAAAAGAUUGCUUUUUUGUAUAGAUUUUCCUCUUAGUAUACUUCCAGUCUAUCAGUAACUACAAGCUACGUCAGAACCCCUCCGCCGAGUAUUUGUAUUAAAAGUUACCCCAUUUUUUUAUCAACUCGCCCAUCUCAGUCUUUCGGCUUCUGAAGACGAUCUUAAAGUUAAAAAAAAUGUCUGUGGUAAAAGACAGUCUUGUGGUUAUCCGUACAGCCUCAUUGUGGGAUAACCUUUAAUUUGAACGUCUUUUGAAUGAUAAUGUUAGUCCACCAAUAUUGAUUGGAAUAUUUAUUACAUGUCAUCUGGCUGCUCAAUUCCCCAUACUGAAUGUAGCACUAGCCAGACGUCAAGACGAUACUGUAAGAGUUACGCCAUCAGUGAUUAAGCUUGGAGAUGACAUAUCUUUUUGCACUGUUUAGCGACCCGGUGUAUGGCAAUGAACUAUCUUAAUAAAAUUAGUGAAAUCCCUAAUGAAAUUACA